Molecule: long non-coding RNA, 800 nt
Organism: Pezoporus flaviventris
Lineage: Eukaryota; Metazoa; Chordata; Aves; Psittaciformes; Psittacidae
Exons: 4
Source: RefSeq, a predicted model, not a curated record
CUUUGCUGCAUGGGUGCCUCUGGCAGUACUGCUGUGAUACUGUAAUAUUUACUGGGUCUUCUAAAGCCACCCCUUUUGAGGUCAUAAUUACACGAGACUCUCAUCUCUUCUAGAAAAUAUGGAGAUUCCCAGUUCUUCCCCAGCACUGCAGAUUGAAAGCAUGGAAAAGAUAUUGGCAUUAGUCACUUGGCUUCUUUAUUUUACGAACCACUUCUGAACAGCAGAGGCUGCGUAAGAUUACUCUGUGAGUAGCUUUGUGGAAUUGGAAUGGAGCAAAUUACCAGAAGGAGUCAGCUAAGUAGCUGGGACCUGAACUGAGCCAACCUCUCAUCUGCAUGUUGGAAACUAGUUGUGAAUGACGGCACCAGUGCAGCCUAGAUGUGAGGAAAGAGUUGGAUAGUUCCACAAAUAACCUUAUCUGAGAGGAAGUGCAGCAGUAUGUGAUGUAAUCUGUGGGGCCAGGAGCAUGAGUUGAAGGGGACUUCACUGGCAGUGCGUAGGAAGCUUCGUGUCUGCAAUGGGCUGCAACAUUACUGCAUGCACACACACAUGGGAGGAGUGUCCAGAGACUCCAGGACCUCAAGUACUCUGCAGUAAUGGACUGGUACAAAGCCUACUCUUGAAGUUCCUGAGAGGCAAGUGAGGAAUGGCAGGUGAGUAGUUACAUAGUAAUGAUUUGUGCUAUUAUUACAAGAGAGACAGGUCUAGCUCAUUUAUACACAACCUAACACAACAGGAUUACUGCCUUUUUGGCCUAAUAAUAUUUUGAAGUGUUACACAAUGAUGGGAUCCCUGCCUAA